Molecule: ribosomal RNA, 486 nt
Filed under: uncultured bacterium
Lineage: Bacteria
Description: partial 16S ribosomal RNA
Rfam family: Bacterial small subunit ribosomal RNA
Source: RNAcentral
AUUGAACGCUGGCGGCAUGCCUUACACAUGCAAGUCGAACGGCAGCACGGGUGCUUGCACCUGGUGGCGAGUGGCGAACGGGUGAGUAAUACAUCGGAACAUGUCCUGUAGUGGGGGAUAGCCCGGCGAAAGCCGGAUUAAUACCGCAUACGAUCUACGGAUGAAAGCGGGGGACCUUCGGGCCUCGCGCUAUAGGGUUGGCCGAUGGCGGAUUAGCUAGUUGGAGGGGUAAAGGCCUACCAAGGCGACGAUCAGUAGCUGGUCUGAGAGGACGACCAGCCACACUGGGACUGAGACACGGCCCAGACUCCUACGGGAGGCAGCAGUGGGGAAUUUUGGACAAUGGGCGAAAGCCUGAUCCAGCAAUGCCGCGUGUGUGAAGAAGGCCUUCGGGUUGUAAAGCACUUUUGUCCGGAAAGAAAUCCUUGGCCCUAAUACGGUCGGGGGAUGACGGUACCGGAAGAAUAAGCACCGGCUAACUACGUG